This 459-nucleotide ribosomal RNA is filed under the name uncultured bacterium. RNAcentral describes it as "bacterial SSU rRNA". It matches the Rfam family "Bacterial small subunit ribosomal RNA", at positions 340 to 786 of the family's 1533-position model. The record is from RNAcentral.
UACGGAAGGCAGCAGUGGGGAAUAUUGCACAAUGGGCGCAAGCCUGAUGCAGCCAUGCCGCGUGUAUGAAGAAGGCCUUCGGGUUGUAAAGUACUUUCAGUCGUGAGGAAGGUGUUAAGGUUAAUAACCUUAGCAAUUGACGUUAGCGACAGAAGAAGCACCGGCUAACUCCGUGCCAGCAGCCGCGGUAAUACGGAGGGUGCGAGCGUUAAUCGGAAUUACUGGGCGUAAAGGGCACGCAGGCGGUUAAUUAAGUUGGAUGUGAAAUCCCCGGGCUUAACCUGGGAAUGGCAUUCAAGACUGGUUAGCUAGAGUCUUGUAGAGGGGGUAGAAUUCCAUGUGUAGCGGUGAAAUGCGUAGAGAUGUGGAGGAAAUACCGGUGGCGAAAGGCGGCCCCUGGGACAAAGGACUGACGCUCAUGUGCGAAAAGCGUGGGGAGCAAAACAGGGAUUAGAUACC